RNAcentral lists this ribosomal RNA (418 nucleotides) under uncultured Lachnospiraceae bacterium. Its description in RNAcentral is "bacterial SSU rRNA". It matches the Rfam family "Bacterial small subunit ribosomal RNA", at positions 405 to 826 of the family's 1533-position model. The record is from RNAcentral. Lineage: Bacteria; Bacillati; Bacillota; Clostridia; Lachnospirales; Lachnospiraceae.
GUGAAGAAGUAUUUCGGUAUGUAAAGCUCUAUCAGCAGGGAAGAAAGACUCGUAAGAGAGAUGACGGUACCUGACUAAGAAGCCCCGGCUAACUACGUGCCAGCAGCCGCGGUAAUACGUAGGGGGCAAGCGUUAUCCGGAUUUACUGGGUGUAAAGGGAGCGCAGACGGUCAAGCAAGUCUGAAGUGAAACCCCACGGCUCAACCGUGGGCUUGCUUUGGAAACUGUUUGACUAGAGUACUGGAGAGGUAAGCGGAAUUCCUAGUGUAGCGGUGAAAUGCGUAGAUAUUAGGAGGAACAUCGGUGGCGAAGGCGGCUUACUGGACAGCAACUGACGUUGAGGCUCGAAGGCGUGGGGAGCAAACAGGAUUAGAUACCCUGGUAGUCCACGCGGUAAACGAUGAAUACUAGGUGUUGG